RNAcentral lists this transfer RNA (89 nucleotides) under Streptomyces althioticus subsp. attaecolombicae. RNAcentral describes it as "Streptomyces sp. DSM 41972 tRNA-Ile". The stretch from base 21 to 78 matches the Rfam family "tRNA", at positions 10 to 63 of the family's 71-position model. From Rfam's summary of the family: Transfer RNA (tRNA) molecules are approximately 80 nucleotides in length. Their secondary structure includes four short double-helical elements and three loops (D, anti-codon, and T loops). Lineage: Bacteria; Bacillati; Actinomycetota; Actinomycetes; Kitasatosporales; Streptomycetaceae. The record is from RNAcentral.
GGGGCGACAGUAGGCGUCACGAGCAGUGCGAGUGGCUCGGCGGACUCAUAAUCCGUCGGCCGUGGGUUCGAGUCCCACCCGCCCCACCA